This 224-nucleotide ribosomal RNA is filed under the name uncultured prokaryote. RNAcentral describes it as "partial 16S ribosomal RNA". It matches the Rfam family "Bacterial small subunit ribosomal RNA", at positions 524 to 746 of the family's 1533-position model. The record is from RNAcentral.
UACGAGGGGGGCAAGCGUUGUUCGGAAUUAUUGGGCGUAAAGGGCUCGUAGGUGGUUCGGUAAGUCGGGUGUGAAACCUCCAGGCUCAACCUGGAGACGCCACCCGAUACCGCUGUGACUGGAGUCCGGUAGGGGAGCGUGGAAUUCCUGGUGUAGCGGUGAAAUGCGCAGAUAUCAGGAGGAACACCAGCGGCGAAGGCGGCGCUCUGGGCCGGUACUGACAC